AAUGAACGCUGGCGGCGUGCUUAACACAUGCAAGUCGUACGAGAAAUCUUCUGCUUGCAGAAGAGAGUAAAGUGGCGUACGGGUGAGUAAUGCGUAGGUAAUCUACCUCUGAAUUCGGGAUAACAUAUCGAAAGGUGUGCUAAUACCGGAUGAAGUCCAUGUGGUAAUGACUGUAUGGAUGAAAGAUGGCCUCUACAUGUAAGCUAUUGUUUGGAGAUGAGCCUGCGUACCAUUAGCUAGUUGGUGGGGUAAGAGCCUACCAAGGCUACGAUGGUUAGCUGGUCUGAGAGGAUGAUCAGCCACACUGGAACUGGAACACGGUCCAGACUCCUACGGGUGGCAG
Molecule: ribosomal RNA, 343 nt
Filed under: uncultured Pseudomonadota bacterium
Lineage: Bacteria; Pseudomonadati; Pseudomonadota
Description: bacterial SSU rRNA
Rfam family: Bacterial small subunit ribosomal RNA
Source: RNAcentral